GUUUACAUUUAUUCAGUGAAUGUAUACACUUUAGUUGCGGAAUUGUGUCCCUACAAAUAAAAUGGCAUGUGCUCAGUAGAAUAAUGGAUAACCGAAACAAAUCAAUGAGAAAGUGACCAUGCGGAUCUGAAUUCUGAAAUAUGAUUCAACAAGGAGUGUUAAACAAAGCGGUCCUAAGGCUAAGAUCAGUGGAACCCAAACAUUUCUGGAGGAGGCUAAAUUAAAUCACAAGAAAAACUAAGUUUAAAAUAAUUUACUGAAUAUUAAUCUUAUUUUAUACAAAUCAUGGUAAACGAUUUAUGUAAUUUUUCGAAUUAUAGUUCUAAUCAAACAGAUAUAAUGAAAAACUACAAGAGAAAGUAGUGUAUUUUUAAGAGUAGGGGAUUUUUCAUAAAUUGGAAAACUAAGAUAAUGGUAGGGGAGAGGAAAAUAAUAUAUAAAUCAAUUUAUUCUUAAAAACUCAUAUACAGUUUAAAUUAGACUAACCUUAUUGAAUUAUUACAAGAAAGAGACAUUCAAACAAUAAAAAUGAAAAUAUAUCAGGCGAUGUUUGUUAUAUUUAUAAUUUCUAUGUUCUCCACUGUAUACUCCAGAACUCUUAAAAAACGUGAAUUACAAGAAGUAGAAGACAAUGAAGCCUUACAUACAUCCCAUGGUAACUAUGGUGGAGGUAGUCAUGGACAUGCCACUUCAUACAACAAUUAUGUUUUGCACUCUUUCCACCCAACAAAAUACAAUGUACAUAAAGAUCAUUAAUUUCUAAACUUUCAAUUCUCUAAAUUUAUCAAUGAAAUUAUCAUAAAUACUUUUUUGUACGAUUUCUUUUUCUAACGAGUUGUUAAUUUACAGUAAAAUAAUUUUAUAAUAAUACUUACACAGUAAAAUUGAAUAAAUUUAGGAAAAUUAUGUUUUAUUUAAUGCUGUGAAUUAUUUUUUAAUAAUAAACUUAUGUACAGAUUAGAAUUUCAUAAUGUAUAUCUGGAAUUAAAAUUAAGUUAAACUGAAUAAAUGGACUGCAGUUUUAUUUUGUAACACAAAUUAAUUAUAAUAUUUUAUUAAUAAAUUUCUUACUUAAGAUACACUAUCAAUUAGUAUAAAAUUAAUUGAAAUAAGGAUAAUUUUAUAAAUUCUGUACUUAAAAAAAAAAAUGUCAGAAUAUAAACCCUUGACAAAAAAUUAUUUAUAGAAUUCAUGUUCUGAUUCAUCUUUUUUGAUAUUAUUCUUAUAUCCCUUCUCAAAAUCUUUUGGUAGUACAAUAUAACGAUUUUCUCGAACAGCAUG
Molecule: long non-coding RNA, 1281 nt
Organism: Daktulosphaira vitifoliae (grape phylloxera)
Lineage: Eukaryota; Metazoa; Arthropoda; Insecta; Hemiptera; Phylloxeridae
Exons: 4
Source: RefSeq, a predicted model, not a curated record